GAUUUUUCUACAUUUAUGGUAGGACGAGCCGACGGUGCGGUGUGCUCUUCUCGGAAAGAGAAAAUUUCGAAAAUAUUUCCGUGCCGUGCCCUAAUCAUGCACCUCAUUAGGCGAAAAGUAGCACUGGUAUCCUGUUUCCAGUCCGAAGCCACGCUGGAUUUGAUAUUAGCCCAAUACUACAAACGCCACCCUCUAUGAGGAGGCGGAGCAAACCAGUAAGGCAUGCGCGGACACCCGGCGUAGCAAGACGAAAGCUAGGAAACGGGCGGCGAGUAGCAGCGAAGAUGGUGCCCGAGAUGUUGUCCGUGAGCGGCGGGCUCUACAGGACGACAAAGCCGCGAAGCGGAGAAUGCGGCGAAGCAACGCAGGUACGACGCCAGUAAAUUGGACGAGCACACGGGUGCGUAUGCAAAAUUUCAGAGGGACUUUCUGUACAGACAUUUUGGAUUCCGUUGUGGGGUGGGCGACAGACUGUCGUUCGAGAAUGAUUUGAUGGUGAUUGCUAGCGUUCGAGAUGUCGCGAAGCGUGAACUUAAUGCCGUUUUGACACCUACCCCAGCUUCUGACUUAGCCAGCUGCUCGGUUUGGCGGCGCGGAGGAAGCACUAAUGGCAUCAAUCAUUUGUUGUGACAGGUGGUUGCUAACAAGCCAUCUGCUGCAUUUUCGCGCCUGCGCAAAGAACCGAAUAAGCAGUUAGUACGUUGCGUGCGCUGGUAUGGGGAGGCCGCGUGUAGUGCGUAUUGCCGAAGAACAAGCUGCUCACGAGGUGCAACUUCCAGACCGCAGACGUGAACGUGAGCGAGAGCUGCGGGCGGCACGAACCAUUCAGGAGCGUGCCGAGGAGGCUGCUCGUAAGCUACGGACUAAAGCAGAAAACCCCUCAGGUCGCGAAGCAAUUAAUGCGGCGCAACGACGGAGGUACCACGCUCGGAAGGUUGUUUCGUUUUCAUACUGAGAUAGCGCUUCGGCCCCUCCGUCUUGAACCCGUCCUGCCUGGGAAGGCCAACCACGCUUCCCUUGACGAGGAUAUCCUCCGAAGCGCUACUUCGAACUCCAAGCCACCAAAGUAUACCGUCGAUGCUUCCUUGGUGGUAGAAAUGGCUGCCGUGACUACCGCAAUGACCGUGCUGUCCGUGGACAUCGCCCCUGGU
Dermacentor albipictus is the source of this 1151-nucleotide long non-coding RNA. RefSeq lists it as uncharacterized. The record is from RefSeq and is a predicted model, not a curated record. NCBI's taxonomy places the organism in Eukaryota, Metazoa, Arthropoda, Arachnida, Ixodida, Ixodidae.